This 429-nucleotide ribosomal RNA is filed under the name Chloroflexota bacterium. RNAcentral's name for it is "Chloroflexi bacterium partial 16S ribosomal RNA". It matches the Rfam family "Bacterial small subunit ribosomal RNA", at positions 355 to 776 of the family's 1533-position model. Lineage: Bacteria; Bacillati; Chloroflexota. The record is from RNAcentral.
UGGGGAAUAUUGCACAAUGGGCGCAAGCCUGAUGCAGCCAUGCCGCGUGUAUGAAGAAGGCCUUCGGGUUGUAAAGUACUUUCAGUCGGGAGGAAGGUGUCAAGGUUAAUAACCUUGGCAAUUGACGUUACCGACAGAAGAAGCACCGGCUAACUCCGUGCCAGCAGCCGCGGUAAUACGGAGGGUGCAAGCGUUAAUCGGAAUUACUGGGCGUAAAGCGCACGCAGGCGGUUGAUUGAGUCAGAUGUGAAGUCCCCGGGCUUAACCCGGGAAUUGCAUCUGAUACUGGUCAGCUAGAGUCUUGUAGAGGGGGGUAGAAUUCCAUGUGUAGCGGUGAAAUGCGUAGAGAUGUGGAGGAAUACCGGUGGCGAAGGCGGCCCCCUGGAAAAAGACUGACGCUCAGGUGCGAAAGCGUGGGGAGCAAACAGG